RNAcentral lists this ribosomal RNA (274 nucleotides) under uncultured bacterium. RNAcentral's name for it is "partial 16S ribosomal RNA". It matches the Rfam family "Bacterial small subunit ribosomal RNA", at positions 524 to 796 of the family's 1533-position model. The record is from RNAcentral.
UACGGGGGGAGCAAGCGUUGUUCGGAUUUACUGGGCGUAAAGGGCGCGUAGGCGGUCAGUCAAGUCACUUGUGAAAUCUCUGGGCUUAACCCAGUAGCGGCCAAGUGAUACUGAAGGGCUAGAGUGCGGAAGGGGCAACCGGAAUUCUUGGUGUAGCGGUGAAAUGCGUAGAUAUCAAGAGGAACACCUGCGGCGAAGGCGGGUUGCUGGGCCGACACUGACGCUGAGGCGCGAAAGCUAGGGGAGCGAACGGGAUUAGAAACCCUCGUAGUCC